UUUGGUUAAGUUAGAAAGGGCGCACGGUGGAUGCCUUGACACUAGGAGUCGAUGAAGGACGGGACUAACGCCGAUAUGCUUCGGGGAGCUGUAAGUAAGCUUUGAUCCGAAGAUUUCCGAAUGGGGAAACCCACCAUACGUAAUGGUAUGGUAUCCUUAUCUGAAUACAUAGGGUAAGGAAGACAGACCCAGGGAACUGAAACAUCUAAGUACCUGGAGGAAGAGAAAGCAAAUGCGAUUUCCUGAGUAGCGGCGAGCGAAACGGAACAUAGCCCAAACCAAGAGGCUUGCCUCUUGGGGUUGUAGGACAUUCUAUACGGAGUUACAAAGGAACGAGGUAGACGAAGCGACCUGGAAAGGUCCGUCGUAGAGGGUAACAACCCCGUAGUCGAAACUUCGUUCUCUCUUGAAUGUAUCCUGAGUACGGCGGAACACGUGAAAUUCCGUCGGAAUCUGGGAGGACCAUCUCCCAAGGCUAAAUACUCCCUAGUGAUCGAUAGUGAACCAGUACCGUGAGGGAAAGGUGAAAAGCACCCCGGAAGGGGAGUGAAAGAGAUCCUGAAACCGUGUGCCUACAAAUAGUCAGAGCCCGUUAACGGGUGAUGGCGUGCCUUUUGUAGAAUGAACCGGCGAGUUACGAUCCCGUGCGAGGUUAAGCUGAAGAGGCGGAGCCGCAGCGAAAGCGAGUCUGAAUAGGGCGUUUAGUACGUGGUCGUAGACCCGAAACCAGGUGAUCUACCCAUGUCCAGGGUGAAGUUCAGGUAACACUGAAUGGAGGCCCGAACCCACGCACGUUGAAAAGUGCGGGGAUGAGGUGUGGGUAGCGGAGAAAUUCCAAUCGAACCUGGAGAUAGCUGGUUCUCCCCGAAAUAGCUUUAGGGCUAGCCUUAAGUGUAAGAGUCUUGGAGGUAGAGCACUGAUUGGACUAGGGGUCCUCAUCGGAUUACCGAAUUCAGUCAAACUCCGAAUGCCAAUGACUUAUCCUUAGGAGUCAGACUGCGAGUGAUAAGAUCCGUAGUCAAAAGGGAAACAGCCCAGACCGCCAGCUAAGGUCCCAAAGUGUGUAUUAAGUGGAAAAGGAUGUGGAGUUGCUUAGACAACUAGGAUGUUGGCUUAGAAGCAGCCACCAUUUAAAGAGUGCGUAAUAGCUCACUAGUCGAGUGACUCUGCGCCGAAAAUGUACCGGGGCUAAAUACACCACCGAAGCUGCGGAUUGAUACCGAAUGGUAUCAGUGGUAGGGGAGCGUUCUAAGGACAGUGAAGUCAGACCGGAAGGACUGGUGGAGUGCUUAGAAGUGAGAAUGCCGGUAUGAGUAGCGAAAGACGGGUGAGAAUCCCGUCCACCGAAUGCCUAAGGUUUCCUGAGGAAGGCUCGUCCGCUCAGGGUUAGUCAGGACCUAAGCCGAGGCCGACAGGCGUAGGCGAUGGACAACAGGUUGAUAUUCCUGUACCACCUCUUUAUCGUUUGAGCAAUGGAGGGACGCAGAAGGAUAGAAGAAGCGUGCGAUUGGUUGUGCACGUCCAAGCAGUUAGGCUGAUAAGUAGGCAAAUCCGCUUAUCGUGAAGGCUGAGCUGUGAUGGGGAAGCUCCUUAUGGAGCGAAGUCUUUGAUUCCCCGCUGCCAAGAAAAGCUUCUAGCGAGAUAAAAGGUGCCUGUACCGCAAACCGACACAGGUAGGCGAGGAGAGAAUCCUAAGGUGUGCGAGAGAACUCUGGUUAAGGAACUCGGCAAAAUGACCCCGUAACUUCGGGAGAAGGGGUGCUUUCUUAACGGAAAGCCGCAGUGAAUAGGCCCAAGCGACUGUUUAGCAAAAACACAGCUCUCUGCGAAGCCGUAAGGCGAAGUAUAGGGGGUGACACCUGCCCGGUGCUGGAAGGUUAAGGAGAGGGGUUAGCGUAAGCGAAGCUCUGAACUGAAGCCCCAGUAAACGGCGGCCGUAACUAUAACGGUCCUAAGGUAGCGAAAUUCCUUGUCGGGUAAGUUCCGACCCGCACGAAAGGUGUAACGAUUUGGGCACUGUCUCAACCAGAGACUCGGUGAAAUUAUAGUACCUGUGAAGAUGCAGGUUACCCGCGACAGGACGGAAAGACCCCGUGGAGCUUUACUGUAGCCUGAUAUUGAAUUUUGGUACAGUUUGUACAGGAUAGGCGGGAGCCUUUGAAACCGGAGCGCUAGCUUCGGUGGAGGCGCUGGUGGGAUACCGCCCUGACUGUAUUGAAAUUCUAACCUACGGGUCUUAUCGACCCGGGAGACAGUGUCAGGUGGGCAGUUUGACUGGGGCGGUCGCCUCCUAAAGUGUAACGGAGGCGCCCAAAGGUUCCCUCAGAAUGGUUGGAAAUCAUUCGUAGAGUGCAAAGGCAUAAGGGAGCUUGACUGCGAGACCUACAAGUCGAGCAGGGACGAAAGUCGGGCUUAGUGAUCCGGUGGUUCCGCAUGGAAGGGCCAUCGCUCAACGGAUAAAAGCUACCCCGGGGAUAACAGGCUUAUCUCCCCCAAGAGUCCACAUCGACGGGGAGGUUUGGCACCUCGAUGUCGGCUCAUCGCAUCCUGGGGCUGUAGUCGGUCCCAAGGGUUGGGCUGUUCGCCCAUUAAAGCGGUACGCGAGCUGGGUUCAGAACGUCGUGAGACAGUUCGGUCCCUAUCCGUCGUGGGCGUAGGAAAUUUGAGAGGAGCUGUCCUUAGUACGAGAGGACCGGGAUGGACGCACCGCUGGUGUACCAGUUGUUCUGCCAAGGGCAUAGCUGGGUAGCUAUGUGCGGAAGGGAUAAGUGCUGAAAGCAUCUAAGCAUGAAGCCCCCCUCAAGAUGAGAUUUCCCAUAGCGUAAGCUAGUAAGAUCCCUGAAAGAUGAUCAGGUUGAUAGGUUCGAGGUGGAAGCGUGGUGACAUGUGGAGCUGACGAAUACUAAUAGAUCGAGGACUUAACCAUAUAA
This 2930-nucleotide ribosomal RNA is filed under the name Bacillus pacificus. RNAcentral's name for it is "23S ribosomal RNA". It matches the Rfam family "Bacterial large subunit ribosomal RNA". The record is from RNAcentral. Lineage: Bacteria; Bacillati; Bacillota; Bacilli; Caryophanales; Bacillaceae.